GGGGCUAUAUAGCUCAGCUGGGAGAGCGCCUGCUUUGCACGCAGGAGGUCUGCGGUUCGAUCCCGCAUAGCUCCACCA
This 78-nucleotide transfer RNA is filed under the name Klebsiella pneumoniae. RNAcentral describes it as "tRNA-Ala". It matches the Rfam family "tRNA". Rfam says of the family: Transfer RNA (tRNA) molecules are approximately 80 nucleotides in length. Their secondary structure includes four short double-helical elements and three loops (D, anti-codon, and T loops). Lineage: Bacteria; Pseudomonadati; Pseudomonadota; Gammaproteobacteria; Enterobacterales; Enterobacteriaceae. The record is from RNAcentral.